UACGGAGGGUGCAAGCGUUAAUCGGAUUUACUGGGCGUAAAGGGUGCGUAGGCGGCGAUUUAAGUCAGAUGUGAAAUACCUGGGCUCAACCUGGGAACUGCAUUUGAAACUGGAUUGCUAGAGUAUGGUAGAGGGUAGCGGAGUUUCUGGUGUAGCGGUGAAAUGCGUAGAUAUCAGAAGGAACAUCAAUGGCGAAGGCAGCUACCUGGGCCAAUACUGACGCUGAGGCACGAAAGCGUGGGGAGCAAACAGG
Molecule: ribosomal RNA, 253 nt
Filed under: uncultured bacterium
Lineage: Bacteria
Description: partial 16S ribosomal RNA
Rfam family: Bacterial small subunit ribosomal RNA
Source: RNAcentral